RNAcentral lists this ribosomal RNA (460 nucleotides) under uncultured bacterium. RNAcentral's name for it is "partial 16S ribosomal RNA". It matches the Rfam family "Bacterial small subunit ribosomal RNA", at positions 338 to 795 of the family's 1533-position model. The record is from RNAcentral.
CCUACGGGAGGCAGCAGUGAGGAAUAUUGGUCAAUGGACGAGAGUCUGAACCAGCCAAGUAGCGUGAAGGAUGACUGCCCUAUGGGUUGUAAACUUCUUUUAUAUGGGAAUAAAAUGUUCCACGUGUGGGAUUUUGUAUGUACCAUAUGAAUAAGGAUCGGCUAACUCCGUGCCAGCAGCCGCGGUAAUACGGAGGAUCCGAGCGUUAUCCGGAUUGAUUGGGUUUAAAGGGAGCGUAGGUGGAUUGUUAAGUCAGUUGUGAAAGUUUGCGGCUCAACCGUAAAAUUGCAGUUGAAACUGGCAGUCUUGAGUACAGUAGAGGUGAGCGGAAUUCGUGGUGUAGCGGUGAAAUGCUUAGAUAUCACGAAGAACUCCGAUUGCGAAGGCAGCUCACUGGACUGCAACUGACACCGAGGCUCGAAAGUGUGGGUAUCAAACAGGAUUAGAUACCCUGGUAGUC